Molecule: ribosomal RNA, 497 nt
Filed under: uncultured bacterium
Lineage: Bacteria
Description: partial 16S ribosomal RNA
Rfam family: Bacterial small subunit ribosomal RNA
Source: RNAcentral
GACGAACGCUGGCGGCGUGCCUAAUACAUGCAAGUUGAGCGCUGAAGGUUGGUACUUGUACCAACUGGAUGAGCAGCGAACGGGUGAGUAACGCGUGGGGAAUCUGCCUUUGAGCGGGGGACAACAUUUGGAAACGAAUGCUAAUACCGCAUAAAAACUUUAAACACAAGUUUUAAGUUUGAAAGAUGCAAUUGCAUCACUCAAAGAUGAUCCCGCGUUGUAUUAGCUAGUUGGUGAGGUAAAGGCUCACCAAGGCGAUGAUACAUAGCCGACCUGAGAGGGUGAUCGGCCACAGUGGGACUGAGACACGGCCCAAACUCCUACGGGAGGCAGCAGUAGGGAAUCUUCGGCAAUGGACGAAAGGCUGACCGAGCAACGCCGCGUGAGUGAAGAAGGUUUUCGGAUCGUAAAACUCUGUUGGUAGAGAAGAACGUUGGUGAGAGUGGAAAGCUCAGCAAGUGACGGUAACUACCCAGAAAGGGACGGCUAACUACGUG